AUCCUGACGUGGCUUUGUCAUGGGUUAAAGACUCUUCAGAGCUGUCUGAAGUGACUAUCCAUGUUUACACAUAUGGUGCCAUAAAUGGGACCUGAAAAGUUUGCUAUGGGAAGGAAUUAGUGAUUCUCGGAACACGUAUGCAGUCCUCACUUUAUACCGCUGAGUGCUCUGCUUGUAUAAAUCACUUUUUCUGCCCUGAA
Molecule: long non-coding RNA, 200 nt
Filed under: Pongo abelii (Sumatran orangutan)
Lineage: Eukaryota; Metazoa; Chordata; Mammalia; Primates; Hominidae
Description: lncRNA (ENSPPYG00000031285.1)
Source: RNAcentral